This 486-nucleotide ribosomal RNA is filed under the name uncultured bacterium. RNAcentral's name for it is "partial 16S ribosomal RNA". It matches the Rfam family "Bacterial small subunit ribosomal RNA", at positions 30 to 507 of the family's 1533-position model. The record is from RNAcentral.
AUUGAACGCUGGCGGCAUGCCUUACACAUGCAAGUCGAACGGCAGCACGGGUGCUUGCACCUGGUGGCGAGUGGCGAACGGGUGAGUAAUACAUCGGAACAUGUCCUGUAGUGGGGGAUAGCCCGGCGAAAGCCGGAUUAAUACCGCAUACGAUCUACGGAUGAAAGCGGGGGACCUUCGGGCCUCGCGCUAUAGGGUUGGCCGAUGGCUGAUUAGCUAGUUGGUGGGGUAAAGGCCUACCAAGGCGACGAUCAGUAGCUGGUCUGAGAGGACGACCAGCCACACUGGGACUGAGACACGGCCCAGGCUCCUACGGGAGGCAGCAGUGGGGAAUUUUGGACAAUGGGCGAAAGCCUGAUCCAGCAAUGCCGCGUGUGUGAAGAAGGCCUUCGGGUUGUAAAGCACUUUUGUCCGGAAAGAAAUCCUUGGCUCUAAUACAGUCGGGGGAUGACGGUACCGGAAGAAUAAGCACCGGCUAACUACGUG